UGACUUUUUUCUUAAUCAAACUUUUUUUUAGGUUUGACCAAGUUUAUAGAAAAAUAUAGCAACAUUUUUAACACAAAAUAAACAUAUUAUCAAAAUAAAUUCAAUGUUAUAUCUAAUGAAACUAAUUUGGUGUUGUAGAUGACGCUAAUUUUUUCUAUAAACUUGGUCAAACCUAAAAAAAGUUUGAUUAAGAAAAAAAAUCA
This 203-nucleotide microRNA precursor is filed under the name Oryza meridionalis. Its description in RNAcentral is "MIR1435 microRNA precursor family". It matches the Rfam family "MIR1435 microRNA precursor family". Lineage: Eukaryota; Viridiplantae; Streptophyta; Magnoliopsida; Poales; Poaceae. The record is from Rfam by way of RNAcentral.